Phragmites australis (common reed) is the source of this 2225-nucleotide long non-coding RNA. RefSeq lists it as uncharacterized. The transcript has 6 exons. The record is from RefSeq and is a predicted model, not a curated record. NCBI's taxonomy places the organism in Eukaryota, Viridiplantae, Streptophyta, Magnoliopsida, Poales, Poaceae.
UAGGCCUCCCAUCGUCUCUAUGCUGCCUCUCGUAAUCGAUCCCCUCCUAGAAAUCGCCGCCGCUACAUUCUCCUCCGCUCGCUCACACGCCGCCUCGCCGCUUCCUCACUCUCGUGCUAUUGCCGCUGAUUCGCCGCCCUCACCUGCCCCGCCACCGGAUCAAUCACCCCCGAACCCAACCCUUGCGCGCCCACAGCGGGUUAGGCCCCCAGUGGGUUCGGGCACCACUGAGGAGGUGAUGAGCAGGCUCCCCCCGCGACUAGAGAAGCCAAGCCUCCACCGGCGAUGAGGAUUGGGAGUCAUUGAUCUGUCGCUGACGGCCACGUCGCCGACUUGGAGGUCGAAGCCUUCGACCUAAUCGCCGUGCCGGCGCGUUCAUCUUCGUCAACCCCUUUGGCGGCAAGAAAUACGCCAGGAGGAUCUAUGGGACGGAAAUCAAACCUCUGUUUAAAACUGACGGUGUCAACGUCGCAAUGCAAGGCAUCUUCUCUUCACUUCGCUCUCUCCCUCCCUCCCCAUCGAAUCGUGAACGCAACCCGACCCAAAUCCUCCUCGCGAGCAGUGUCGAUCCCUCCUCCGCGUCAAGGCUUGCUAUUCAAAGGCUUGAGAUCGCAAAGAAUGAUCUGCAAAAUAGAAUUGCCGAAGAGGCUAGGGGCAAUGCAAUUCUACAGGCGAGUUUGGAAAGAAAAAAACAAGCAUUACAUGAACGCCGUUUGGCUCUGGAACAGGAUGCUGCAUUCCCUUGCCUUGUCAAAUUUGCUUACUCAUGCUUUGUUAAGUGUUUAGGAUGAAAGUAUAUUUCGGUCCCUCGAUCCCACGUUAGGUCCUGUUUACCUUGAACUUCUAGGUCACUAUGUUGGUCCCUCAUCUCUGGGAGCAGGUUAUUCGAACUCUCAAGAGUGUUUGCUAUAUAAGCUUGCCACUGGUUUGUUGGGAGAUGAGAUGACUGGUGUCCUUUUAUUUUCCUACUGGCUUUAUUUUCUUUUGCUUUUGCUUUCGUUUUUUAGCUUUGUAUUGUCCUAUACUCCUAUACCUAUGGUACCAGAAUUAAUGUUUAUGUUUCUUUGGAGUAGUGUGCAAAAACCCCACUGCUCACGUAUCCUUUGUGGUCCACUGGUCCACUGGGGUUCGGAUCCUUUGUGGUCCACUGGUCCUACCUACAGGUGGUAAAUUAUAGAUGAGCCUUGUCUGUCUGUAACUUAUAAGUUAACUAUUAUAAAGGCUUUAAUUGGACAUACCUCUAAAGUUAAGGGGUCAAAAAAUAUUACCAGUGCAAAAUUCAUGGCUUAAACUGAGCACAGUCCAAAAGCUGAGGGGCCAAAUUGAUACUUUCUCCUUUAUUUUCUUCUGAUACUGUUAUUGUUGAAUAGUUCGAGAUAUAUAGAUGGUGUGAUAAUUGUUCUAACUGUAGUUUAUACAACUGUUUAUAACUGUAGGCGUCCAGGUAGCAACUACAAGCUGAGAGGGAUCUUGGAGCUGCAUUGGAGGUUGGCUUGAGCAUGUUUUCUGGACAGUUUUCUAGUGCAUGUUCUAUGGAUGUGAAGACAAGGGCAGAUCUUGAGGAGAUUCCUCUUGCUGAAGCUGAUGUUGCAAAGUUAAAACAAAAGGUUGCGGAGCUUCACCUCCAACUCAAUCAACAACGCCAACACCAGUAUGGCUCUGCAGUGGAUGCAAAUGAUCAUCAUCACCAUCUUCCUGGUCACUUCUCGCAGUAAAUAGCUCGAGGAUGUCAGGUUCACGGGUGUGCUCAGAGAGAUUGGUCACACGGACGACGUAGUUCUCAUCAUUGCUACGCCUCACCCGUGAACCUAAGACGGGUUCUGCAACUCAUGGCAACGUCACCUCCCUUACGUGCAAUGUCUAGUGGAUCAUCAGAGAAUACAUCGUCAGAAAAGACAUCAGGAAUUUGAGUAGUCCAGAUGAAACAAAAAGUGUAGUCGUGUAUAUCCUUAUCCUUGUUCUUUUAGCAUACUAAACAGUAGCUACCUCAAUAACACAGACCAUACGUGACAAAAUAGAGUUAUCUCAUGUUUCAACUUCGACUACCUGAUGAUAAAGUGCGACGUGUCUACGAAGAUCUUGUUAGAAUUAAAGGUGUAUAUAUAAUUUUAAUAAUUCUUAAUAAAUCUUAAAAACCUAUAUUACGGAGACAUGGUUUAUGAUGAGGUCUACCCCCUAUUAAUACCAUAUUACUAAUAAAGUUGGAGGUGAAUAUGUUUUCUUUA